ACAUAAACAGAAUGCUGCAAAUAAAAAACACUGCAAGAAGCUCAAAAGACAACGGGAAGCUGGAACCGGAGCGCUUGUUCACGUUCGGUAUUAGGAAGUUGGCCAACUGUCACUGUUGUUGGAAAGUCAAAUGUUCAAGAUGCAAUGAGGCUCAACCAAAACAACAUGUCGGCUGCUGCAAUGCAGUCACUGCUGUGGCCACCAAGACCUGCACGUUUUGCCAAACACUUCAGGCACGAAAGGAAAGGAUGGCAACCCAACAAAUCCCCCCUGAAGCAAUACAACGUGUCACAUUAUCAUGAAGCCUCUGUUUGGGAAACAUCAGAGACCAGACUCCCAUGGACCUGGUCCAAAAUCUGGGCCACAACCUGGACCUGGACCCAGCAGUGUGUCCCGCAAGGCUGACAAGUCACAUACACCUGACUUUGGUUUCAAAAGAAAAUACAAAUCUGCUGAAAGUUCCCAGCAGAGGAGAAAAAAGUCUCCUGCACCCAGCUGUGUGUCCAUGAAGAGUGAUGGGUCUAUGGGGAUUCUAGUUGGGUUCAAAGAUGGACACCCUACUAAUGACC
This is a long non-coding RNA of Eleginops maclovinus (Patagonian blennie), 569 nucleotides long. RefSeq lists it as uncharacterized. NCBI's taxonomy places the organism in Eukaryota, Metazoa, Chordata, Actinopteri, Perciformes, Eleginopidae. The transcript is spliced from 4 exons. The record is from RefSeq and is a predicted model, not a curated record.